This is a long non-coding RNA of Triticum dicoccoides, 3518 nucleotides long. RefSeq lists it as uncharacterized. The transcript has 5 exons. The record is from RefSeq and is a predicted model, not a curated record. Lineage: Eukaryota; Viridiplantae; Streptophyta; Magnoliopsida; Poales; Poaceae.
UCCCCCAUCUUGCUUGUCCCCCAAUCUGUCAGCUCACUUCUUUUCCCUUGGGUUCAGUCUGAAUCUUUAGAUUAGACUCGGUAUCCUACCAUCUCUGCCGCAUCCCUGAACCUCCAUAACAAGCGAUGUUGAUCAGUUUUUUUGGUAUUCCAUACUCCUCAUAUCCUACUUCAAUUGGCUGAUGGGAUCAGUCUCAUAGUGUUUUUGGUUACAAUUAGCGAGCGUUGUACAUCUGCGUCAUAUCCUGCUUCAAUCGGCUGAACCUACAUAGUGUAUUUAAUUGCAGUAUGAUGUUCACAGCAGGGGCAGAGCUACUAGGAGCCUCCCUAAUGCACAGGCAUCAGGGUCGAUGUUGAUUUCUUGAAACGAUUGUGUAGAGUUGUUUGGCCGUGCACCAGGUUAGGCUGACAGCGGUGCAUCAGGUAUAGGGAGAAUUCCACGGCGGCCUUGUUCGGAACUGGUUCAUGGGUAGGCCAGGUCUUGUUCAGACGUGGCCAGGCCUUGGCGUAGCCUUGUGGGCUGUAGCCUUUUGGGUAGGUUUGGUGUGGCUGGGCAUCAAGGCGUCAAUGCCCUUAGGUGUUGUAGCGUCACGCCGACACGCGAUCACUCGACGAACCACAGCGGAUGGCCGACGUUGCGCUGGGAUUUAGCUUUACGCCUAGCAUCAUCCAUGCUAAUCCGAUCAGUCACUGACCUCAGCUCCAACUCAAAGGUAGAGUAUGACGUAUAGAUGUAGUAAAUUUUAAAUCUCGGGUUAACCAUUGCAAAAAUUGUGCUUUUAGGCGGUAUCUUCUUUAGAUUUUUUUAGUUCUAUGUACGGGGAUAUUCUGAAGUUGAGAAUUCAGUUCAUUUACUUGACUUUAUCAAAUGUGGAUAACCACAAGACUGGAGACGGGAGACUUUGUGUAUAGUCUAAUAAUGUUGCAAUAAGUCGCUCCAUCGUCGUACUUUCCCUCCUUUUAUGCAAUAAUUGUUCAUUCCCAAUUUUUCAGAAACUAUUGCCAAUGUACUAAGUCUUAUUCAGAGAUUGUCAAUAUUGUUGGGCGUCUCCUGCUCUCCCUCUUUUAUAUUUGGUUGUUUGGUCUCACACUGAAGCUGCUAGAUGUAAUGUGGACUCAGGGCCAGAACAGAGAAGAAGCAGAGCGGCUAGACUCAGGAACGCAGCCAAAAGAACGCCGAUAACCGUAAGAAACAGAAGACAAAUUACAAAAUUGGAUCAAAAUCUUACUCGCAAGUAAGCUUUGAGAAGAGAAACUUGGAACUCACCCACACGAACAACGGAACAUGGUCUAACACAGAGUCCUAGAAAGUUUACAACAAAGCACGUCAAGAGGUUCAAAACAAAGAAACUGAAACUGAAGGUCCACUUUCAAGUGAGCAGAAAAACAAUAUUUUCCAGACCUCAUACAAACACACUCUGAAAUGCAAGUCAUCGCAGCCUCGUGGGUAUGGAUACAUGGCCAAACGUUCAACUGGUUCUUAAAGGUUUCGUAUCCAGAUUGAAGAGCAAGCCUACAACAUCCACCCAGCAGCAAAACUCUGAGCUCAGCCAACAGGUCAACGAAUUACAAGAUCAACUACAAGCUGAACAUGCAAACACACAAGAGAGGAUUAACUUGGAGCGUGCUGAGAGAGAACACUUGAGGAGAGGUUAAAAGAAGAGUGUACUGAAAGGGAAAGAUUGUUGGAAGAGGAGCGAACAUCAAGACUGGAAUUUGAAAAAAACAUGAUGACAAAGUUUGUAGCAUUGCCAACAGAUGGGAACCCAACAGGUGCCUAAUGAUUGACAAAGAAAAUAGUAACCCAAACUUGCAAAAUACUCUUUUAUAGAGAUCUAGUCCUAAUAAGACUCUAGGUUCAAGGCCAAUUAUUAUUUCUUCAAAUGCGCUCAUACAAGCUGCAGCAAGGAAUUCUUGAAUGUUUAAAGCAAUGGUAAGUCACAGCCGUACUUUCUCUUCAUGUUCACUUGCAUUUUAUACGUCAUUGGCAUUCAUAAUUAGCUAGCUGCUUCUUCUCUUUCACCAUGUGUUUUUGCUGCAUCGAGUCAGAACUUAAAAAAAUGAAUAUGUGCUAGCUAGGGACAUGAACUUGACUGAAACUAUACAUCGAGCCACAACUUAAAUCAAUAGCAGAACCUUUUAGUAGAUGUACUUGUGCUUAUGCUUUAGACAUUUACACUUGUGCUUUGGCGAUAGUUCCUUUUAACUAUGGGGCUGGAAUAAUUGUAUGGCAUAUGUUAUGUUGGACUCAUUAACUAGAACUUUUUUUAUUUCUUGAUUGCAUGAUUCAAAGAACUAGCUGGCCUGGACUCUAGAUCACAGACCGUUUAGUCUUCGAAAUUAAUUAGGAUGGCUAAAUUACAUCUGAGUUUCAUUUGAUGGAUAUUUGCUACGAGAAUUAUGAACUUUAUGAAUCUACAUAUUAUACGUAUGGUUUUGAAUAUUGUAAUUGAAUGCAUGUAUUUUUUUUACGGUUGCAAUAUGCUACAACCAACUUUCGGUUGCCACAUGUUAGCACCACUAAAAAAAGUGUUGCGUCAUAUUUCAGUCGUUAAGCCUACCUAUUUUGUUACACCAGGAUGUUGUAACGGAUCACUUCAUAUUGUCGCAAUAGCUUGGCACCACAAAAUGUUUCACGAUGCGAUAAUUGUUUUGUGCCACCAAAGUAAUUUUUGUUGAAAUAGAGUAUCACCACGGAAAUUAUAAAUUGACGCAAUAGUUUCUCGCUACGAACAUUUCACCUGUUGUGAUACCCAUUUAUCACCACCAAAACAAGUAUAUUGCAAUUUCUUGUUACGACGACUGAAAUAUUUGUUGCCAUAAGUUAAUGCCACAAGUAUAGUGGGUCAUGGCAACAUGCCUAAUGCCGCGAAAACAAGGAUUGUUGCCAUAGUUUAUUGCCACAACUGUAGUGGGUCGUCUCAAGAUGCCUAAUGCUACGAUAACAAGGAUUGUUGCCAUAGUUUUUUGCCACAAGUGUAGUGGGUCGUGGCAGCAUGCCUAAUGCCAUGAAAACAAGGAUUGUUGCCAUAGCUUAUUGCCACAGUUGACUAUUGCCACAGAAGAGUAAUGCGCCAUGAAACGGGCGUCGUUGGCAUAGGUUGUUGCCACAAAUGUCUAUCACCACGAGAUAUCAGGCGUCACGAUUCGUUUCAUGUUGCAUUAAAGCUAUAUCCACAAAUAUAAUUGUGGCAUCAAGUGAGUGUUGCCACGGGAAAACAUGUGGCAACUUCCCACAUGGAUGUUGCAAUAGCACACUUUAUUGCCACGAUUGCUUUUUCGUGAAAAUAACCUAUUACCAUGCAUCCAGUCACAACGUCUGCCAACGAAUGUCGUUUUGUGGCAAUAUGUACUUAUCGCCACGAAACGUCAUGUAUUGCGACAAACGAUUUUGUUGCAAUAGACCUGGAUCCUUGUAGUGUUGGAAGUUUCUAUACCUAGAAAACUUAACGAUGAGUGGGAACCUACUAUAAAGAUUAAAAUUAAAGAUCAUGAGUGUUAUGCUUUGUGUGAUUUGGG